GGGCCGCCGCGAAGCCGGAGAAGGAGGAGCUCCGCUGCUACAGGGGGCGGACGGCGGUGCGCCGGCCGGCUGCGUCCUCCACCGUGGGGCGUGGGAGCUGGGAGCGUCCGAGGAGGGGAGUGGUGCGUUCAGUCCUGCCCUGUCCUGCAAAAAAGCCGGUGGCCGGGCUCCCUGGCGCCGGCCCUCCGAUGCCUAAGUCAGAGGGGGCAAGUAUGUGGAGAGAGCGGGGAGGAGAGUAUGUGGAGAAGACACAGAGGAUAUUUGGAUAAGAUCAAGAAGAUGAAAGGGAUGGUGUCAUCAAUUGUGUCUGUGCUUCCUCCCACCCCGUCCCGGAGGGUCCAGUCUGGGGAGUUUUUGUUAGGGGUUUCUCAGAGUCCGUCCGGAGAGAGUCCCUCCUCUUCCCCCCCAGGCUUCCUUUUAUAAAAGAUUUGGUUACCUGGGAGGUGACAGGAGGUUUGUCCUGUUCUGUGAUAAUUGGGCACGAUUUAGCCCAUUAAUGGCGUAGUGGAGAACGGGACCGGAUCAGACCGGAACCAGCGAGUUGUCACGGUCGAUCGGACCUGUUGGAGUUGUUGAACCGCCGGCCGUGGUGGGCCUGGGGUCCGUGGAUGGUAAGUGCAUUUAUUACCGAAUGAACCGGCGGUCAGGUAGAGCCAUACGCUCUGAUGGUUCAGUAAUCCGGAGAUCGUCUUGGGCCGUGUUCAUUAAAUGACUUGAGUGCAUCGGAGACUUGAGGGAGUCUCGUGCAUUAAUGGCAGGUCGUGGCGAAUGCCUGCGAAGAUCUUAUGCCUUGAUGGCUUGGAGAUAACGGCAGGUUACAAGCUGUAAGAGUUGUCAAGUCAUUUGGACUUUAGGCGGAGGUUAAGCAUUAAGGCAUCGGCUCGGCAGGGGUGCCGAGCCGAGCUGGUCGCCCAAUGGGGCGCCCUGUGGCGGGGCCGCUUUGAGUACUCCUGGUCGGCGCUCUUUAAGCGAGCACCUUCUAGCAGAGCGCCUCUAUUCGGCGCUUUUUGCCCCAUGGUCGGCAUCCCUUGACCGAGCAUCCCUACUUUGAUUAUUUUGGCUGGGCGCCUCUUCUUGGCGCUCUCUCUGGUCGGCAUCCCUUGGCCGAGCAGUUCUCUGGUCGGCACUCCUUGGCCGAGCAGCUCUCUGGUCGGCGCUCUCUGACCGAGCAGCUUUCCGGUCGGCGCUCUUUGGCUGAGCGCCUCCGUGGACGCAUGACUUGGGGUUUUUUCCCCAACACUACCCCC
RNAcentral lists this long non-coding RNA (1247 nucleotides) under Phoenix dactylifera (date palm). Its description in RNAcentral is "long non-coding RNA (PDAC_LNC015255)". The record is from RNAcentral. Lineage: Eukaryota; Viridiplantae; Streptophyta; Magnoliopsida; Arecales; Arecaceae.